This 257-nucleotide ribosomal RNA is filed under the name uncultured bacterium. RNAcentral's name for it is "partial 16S ribosomal RNA". It matches the Rfam family "Bacterial small subunit ribosomal RNA", at positions 333 to 604 of the family's 1533-position model. The record is from RNAcentral.
UUGGCCCUACGGGACGCAGCAGUGGGGAAUAUUGGGCAAUGGGCGCAAGCCUGACCCAGCAACGCCGCGUGAAGGAAGAAGGCUUUCGGGUUGUAAACUUCUUUUCUUGGGGACGAAGAAAGUGACGGUACCCAAGGAAUAAGCCACGGCUAACUACGUGCCAGCAGCCGCGGUAAUACGUAGGUGGCAAGCGUUAUCCGGAUUUAUUGGGUGUAAAGGGCGUGUAGGCGGGAAUGCAAGUCAGAUGUUAAAACUAU